Molecule: microRNA, 21 nt
Filed under: Cynara cardunculus (cardoon)
Lineage: Eukaryota; Viridiplantae; Streptophyta; Magnoliopsida; Asterales; Asteraceae
Description: cca-miR6114-5p
Source: miRBase by way of RNAcentral
UGAAAGGAAUCAUGAACGUGA